GGGGAGGGCGGUGUAGAAGCGGGGCUGUGGGGCCACCCAGCGUGGGCCCAGGAGGGGAAGGAAUGCGACUGAGGCCGGGUGUGGCUGAGGCGAGCACAGCCAGUUGUGGGUUUUUCUUGGGGCCCAGAUAGACGGGAGCAGAGAUGGAGGCCCCUCUCUCGCGCCCCCGCCACACACACUAGGACCUUUCUUCA
RNAcentral lists this long non-coding RNA (194 nucleotides) under Neogale vison (American mink). RNAcentral's name for it is "Neovison vison (American mink) KCNQ1 overlapping transcript 1 conserved region 2 (ENSNVIG00000007988.1)". It matches the Rfam family "KCNQ1 overlapping transcript 1 conserved region 2". Lineage: Eukaryota; Metazoa; Chordata; Mammalia; Carnivora; Mustelidae. The record is from RNAcentral.